UAGGGAAUCUUCGGCAAUGGGGGGAACCCUGACCGAGCAACGCCGCGUGAGUGAAGAAGGUUUUCGGAUCGUAAAGCUCUGUUGUUAAGGAAGAACGAGUGUGAGAAUGGAAAGUUCAUGCUGUGACGGUACUUAACCAGAAAGGGACGGCUAACUACGUGCCAGCAGCCGCGGUAAUACGUAGGUCCCGAGCGUUGUCCGGAUUUAUUGGGCGUAAAGCGAGCGCAGGCGGUUAGAAAAGUCUGAAGUGAAAGGCAGUGGCUCAACCAUUGUAGGCUUUGGAAACUGUUUAACUUGAGUGCAGAAGGGGAGAGUGGAAUUCCAUGUGUAGCGGUGAAAUGCUUAGAUAUAUGGAGGAACACCGGUGGCGAAAGCGGCUCUCUGGUCUGUAACUGACGCUGAGGCUCGAAAGCGUGGGGAGCGAACAGG
Molecule: ribosomal RNA, 429 nt
Filed under: Bacteroidota bacterium
Lineage: Bacteria; Pseudomonadati; Bacteroidota
Description: Bacteroidetes bacterium partial 16S ribosomal RNA
Rfam family: Bacterial small subunit ribosomal RNA
Source: RNAcentral